GGGAUUGUGGUGGAAUAGGUAGACACAACAGGUUUAAGCCCUGUUGCUUGUAUAAGCGUGGGGGUUCAAGUCCCCCCAAUCCCA
RNAcentral lists this transfer RNA (84 nucleotides) under bacterium. Its description in RNAcentral is "tRNA-Leu". It matches the Rfam family "tRNA". Rfam says of the family: Transfer RNA (tRNA) molecules are approximately 80 nucleotides in length. Their secondary structure includes four short double-helical elements and three loops (D, anti-codon, and T loops). The record is from RNAcentral.